Long non-coding RNA from Esox lucius (northern pike), 295 nucleotides. RefSeq lists it as uncharacterized. NCBI's taxonomy places the organism in Eukaryota, Metazoa, Chordata, Actinopteri, Esociformes, Esocidae. The transcript is spliced from 3 exons. The record is from RefSeq and is a predicted model, not a curated record.
GGAGGAGGAAGAUCAUCUUCCUUCCAACACGUCUCAACCAUACCUCUCUACAAAAAAAAGGAAAGGCAAGGAAGCUCCUCUUAAAGCCAGUCCUCCAUGGGUUGUGAGAGCAAAGACAAACCCCCAGAAUGACAUUGGUAGUGUUCCAGGCAACUGAGUGGAGCUGGUUCACAGGCCAGACCAGAUCACAGGCCAAACCAGACCAGAUCACAGACCAGACCAGCAUCUGAAAGGAAUUAACUUAAAUAGACAUGCAAGUUGGGGGUCAGGAGUGGAGGUCCAACCUACAACUUCA